Molecule: long non-coding RNA, 100 nt
Organism: Neomonachus schauinslandi (Hawaiian monk seal)
Lineage: Eukaryota; Metazoa; Chordata; Mammalia; Carnivora; Phocidae
Exons: 3
Source: RefSeq, a predicted model, not a curated record
GGUUUUCAUCGUCACUAUCAAGGAGUUGGCUGCUCAUCUAACUGUUGAUUCUUUGGAGGGCCGAGGCUUAUUCGAUUAAAGGAUGAAGCUCUCCUGAAGC